CUGUCUCUUAUGUUUGUCUGCCGUCUCACCGUGUAUCCCCUAUCAGCGCCCCCUGUCAACGUAUUCUAUCUUGUGAGCGUGCGUGUUCGAAACGGGUUUUCCCUUUUUCGUUGGAUGUGUAUGUGUGUGCGCCCCGAUGGAGACGGAGG
Non-coding RNA from Caenorhabditis elegans, 149 nucleotides. NCBI's taxonomy places the organism in Eukaryota, Metazoa, Nematoda, Chromadorea, Rhabditida, Rhabditidae. The record is from Ensembl.